AAAAUUUUGGUGUAGAAGCUAAAGUAUUUGGGUCUGUUCGACCUUUAAAAUUUUA
Molecule: transfer RNA, 55 nt
Filed under: Sciobius sp. SCI01
Lineage: Eukaryota; Metazoa; Arthropoda; Insecta; Coleoptera; Curculionidae
Description: tRNA-Gln
Source: RNAcentral